CGAACGCUGGCGGCGUGCUUAAGACAUGCAAGUCGAGCGAGAAAGCCACCUUCGGGUGGUGAGUAAAGCGGCGCACGGGUGAGUAACGCGUGGAUAAUCUACCUGUAGGUCUGGGAUAACUCCGGGAAACUGGAGCUAAUACCGGAUAAGACCACGGGGUCUUCGGGUCUUGCGGGAAAAGGUGGCCUCUUCUUGAAAGCUACCGCCUAUCGAUGAGUCCGCGUCCCAUUAGCUUGUUGGCGAGGUAAAGGCUCACCAAGGCUUCGAUGGGUAGCUGGUCUGAGAGGAUGAUCAGCCACACUGGAACUGAGACACGGUCCAGACUCCUGCGGGAGGCAGCAGUCGGGAAUUUUGGGCAAUGGGGGAAACCCUGACCCAGCAACGCCGCGUGAGGGAUGAAGGCCCUCGGGUCGUAAACCUCUGUCGGAAGGGAAGAAAGGUCUCCGUUCGAAUAGAGCGGGGGCUUGACGGUACCUUCAAAGGAAGCACCGGCUAACUCC
This 500-nucleotide ribosomal RNA is filed under the name uncultured bacterium. Its description in RNAcentral is "bacterial SSU rRNA". It matches the Rfam family "Bacterial small subunit ribosomal RNA", at positions 30 to 504 of the family's 1533-position model. The record is from RNAcentral.